UUACCUGGUUUGAUCCUGCCAGUAGUCAUAUGCUUGUCUCAAAGAUUAAGCCAUGCAUGUCUAAGUACAGGCCGAAACAAGGCGAAACCGCGAAUGGCUCAUUAAAUCAGUUAUGGUUCAUUGGAUCUUACCUUGUUUUACUUGGAUAACUGUGGUAAUUCUAGAGCUAAUACGUGAUACCCCAGCUCCGACCGCAAGGAAAGAGCGCUUUUAUUAGAUCAAAACCAAUCGGGCUUCGGUCCGUUCUCACUGUGGUGACUCUGAAUAACUUUGAGCUGAGCGCAUGGUCUUCGAACCGGCGCCAUAUCCUUCAAGUGUCUGCCUUAUCAGCUUUCGAUUGUAGGUUAUGCGCCUACAAUGGCUAUAACGGGUAACGGGGAAUCAGGGUUCGAUUCCGGAGAGGGAGCCUGAGAAACGGCUACCACAUCUAAGGAAGGCAGCAGGCACGCAAAUUACCCACUCCCGGCCCGGGGAGGUAGUGACGAAAAAUAACGAUGCGGGACUCUUCCGAGGCCUCGCAAUCGGAAUGAGCACACUUUAAAUCCUUUAACGAGGAUCUAUUGGAGGGCAAGUCUGGUGCCAGCAGCCGCGGUAAUUCCAGCUCCAAUAGCGUAUAUUAAAGUUGCUGCGGUUAAAAAGCUCGUAGUUGGAUCUCAGUUCCGGACCGACGGUUCACCGCCCGGUGCUUACUGUCGGCUUCCGAACAGCCGCACGCCGGCUCGGCCAGGGUGCUCUUCAUCGAGUGUCCUGGUUUCGGCCGGCACGUUUACUUUGAAAAAAUUAGAGUGCUCAGCGCAGGCUGCAACGCCUGAAUAAUCUGUGCAUGGAAUAAUGGAAUAGGACCUCGGUUCUAUUUUGUUGGUUUUCGGAACCCGAGGUAAUGAUUAAUAGGAACUGUCGGGGGCAUUCGUAUUGCGACGUUAGAGGUGAAAUUCUUGGAUCGUCGCAAGACGGACUACUGCGAAAGCAUUUGCCAAGAAUGUUUUCAUUAAUCAAGAACGAAAGUUAGAGGUUCGAAGGCGAUCAGAUACCGCCCUAGUUCUAACCAUAAACGAUGCCAACCAGCGAUCCGCCGGCGUUAUUCCCAUGACUCGGCGGGCAGCUUCCGGGAAACCAAAGUCUCUGGGUUCCGGGGGAAGUAUGGUUGCAAAGCUGAAACUUAAAGGAAUUGACGGAAGGGCACCACCAGGAGUGGAGCCUGCGGCUUAAUUUGACUCAACACGGGGAACCUCACCAGGCCCGGACACCGGAAGGAUUGACAGAUUGAGAGCUCUUUCUCGAUUCGGUGGGUGGGGGUGCAUGGCCGUU
RNAcentral lists this ribosomal RNA (1308 nucleotides) under Paraiberobathynella cf. fagei ABI-2012. Its description in RNAcentral is "SSU rRNA". It matches the Rfam family "Eukaryotic small subunit ribosomal RNA", at positions 1 to 1292 of the family's 1831-position model. The record is from RNAcentral. Lineage: Eukaryota; Metazoa; Arthropoda; Malacostraca; Bathynellacea; Parabathynellidae.